This 69-nucleotide transfer RNA is filed under the name Dipodomys ordii (Ord's kangaroo rat). RNAcentral describes it as "tRNA-Ile". Lineage: Eukaryota; Metazoa; Chordata; Mammalia; Rodentia; Heteromyidae. The record is from RNAcentral.
AGAAAUAUGUCUGAUAAAAGAGCUACUUUGAUAGAGUAAAACAUAGAGGUGAAAACCCUCUUAUUUCUA